RNAcentral lists this unclassified non-coding RNA (272 nucleotides) under Hevea brasiliensis (rubber tree). Lineage: Eukaryota; Viridiplantae; Streptophyta; Magnoliopsida; Malpighiales; Euphorbiaceae. The record is from RNAcentral.
GGUUAACAUCUUGUUUGGGUGCUAUUGGUUUUACAUGGCAAAUUAUUUUUAUUAACAUACGGAAGCAGGAAACAUGGGCAAACAAUAACCAACUUUUAGCCUUCUCAUUGUUUUGUAGAAAGGUUUAAUCAACUAUAAACUGGAGCAAUUGCCAAUGGAUAUGCUAAUGCAGUGGCUGAAUUUUGGUUUCAUUAAGGCUUAAUCAACUAUAAACUGGAGCAAUUGCCAAUGGAUAUGCUAAUGCAGUGGCUGAAUUUUGGUUUCAUUAAGGC